Molecule: ribosomal RNA, 253 nt
Filed under: uncultured bacterium
Lineage: Bacteria
Description: partial 16S ribosomal RNA
Rfam family: Archaeal small subunit ribosomal RNA
Source: RNAcentral
UACCAGCACCCCGAGUGGUCGGGACGUUUAUUGGGCCUAAAGCAUCCGUAGCCGGUUCUACAAGUCUUCCGUUAAAUCCAGCUGCUUAACAGAUGGGCUGCGGAAGAUACUAUGGAGCUAGGAGGCGGGAGAGGCAAGCGGUACUCGAUGGGUAGGGGUAAAAUCCGUUGAUCCAUUGAAGACCACCAGUGGCGAAGGCGGCUUGCCAGAACGCGCUCGACGGUGAGGGAUGAAAGCGGGGGGAGCAAACCGG